CCUACGGGGUGCAGCAGUGGGGAAUAUUGGACAAUGGGCGAAAGCCUGAUCCAGCCAUGCCGCGUGUGUGAAGAAGGCCUUCGGGUUGUAAAGCACUUUCAGUGGGGAAGAAAGCCUUGGGGCUAAUACCCUCGAGGAAGGACAUCACCCACAGAAGAAGCACCGGCUAACUCCGUGCCAGCAGCCGCGGUAAUACGGAGGUGCGAGCGUUAAUCGGAAUUACUGGGCGUAAAGCGCGCGUAGGCGGUCUGAUAAGCCGGUUGUGAAAGCCCCGGGCUCAACCUGGGAACGGCAUCCGGAACUGUCAGGCUAGAGUGCAGGAGAGGAAGGUAGAAUUCCCGGUGUAGCGGUGAAAUGCGUAGAGAUCGGGAGGAAUACCAGUGGCGAAGGCGGCCUUCUGGACUGACACUGACGCUGAGGUGCGAAAGCGUGGGUAGCAAACAGGAUUAGAUACCCCAGUAGUC
Molecule: ribosomal RNA, 464 nt
Filed under: Vreelandella stevensii
Lineage: Bacteria; Pseudomonadati; Pseudomonadota; Gammaproteobacteria; Oceanospirillales; Halomonadaceae
Description: partial 16S ribosomal RNA
Rfam family: Bacterial small subunit ribosomal RNA
Source: RNAcentral